GUUGUCAGAAGGUAUUGUUCACAGCCAGUUACAGAUGGAAAUUCUUGUUCUACCUUUUCCCCCUUCUCACAACUUCACCUGACUAGUCUUAA
RNAcentral lists this small RNA (92 nucleotides) under Otolemur garnettii (small-eared galago). RNAcentral's name for it is "Y RNA (ENSOGAG00000021641.1)". It matches the Rfam family "Y RNA". Rfam says of the family: Y RNAs are components of the Ro ribonucleoprotein particle (Ro RNP), in association with Ro60 and La proteins. Lineage: Eukaryota; Metazoa; Chordata; Mammalia; Primates; Galagidae. The record is from RNAcentral.